GGCCACAUAGCUCAGUUGGUAGAGCAAGGGACUGAAAAUCCCUGUGUCCAUAGUUCAAUUCUAUGUGUGGCCACCA
This 76-nucleotide transfer RNA is filed under the name Candidatus Thioglobus sp. Its description in RNAcentral is "tRNA-Phe". It matches the Rfam family "tRNA". Rfam says of the family: Transfer RNA (tRNA) molecules are approximately 80 nucleotides in length. The record is from RNAcentral. Lineage: Bacteria; Pseudomonadati; Pseudomonadota; Gammaproteobacteria; Pseudothioglobaceae (SeqCode).